Molecule: transfer RNA, 74 nt
Filed under: Glycine max (soybean)
Lineage: Eukaryota; Viridiplantae; Streptophyta; Magnoliopsida; Fabales; Fabaceae
Also listed under: 1 other name
Rfam family: tRNA
About the family: Transfer RNA (tRNA) molecules are approximately 80 nucleotides in length. Their secondary structure includes four short double-helical elements and three loops (D, anti-codon, and T loops).
Source: Rfam by way of RNAcentral
GACUCAUUAGCUUAGUUGGUUAGAGCAUUGAACUAAUAACUUGAAAGUCAUAGGUUUGAAUCUUGCUUGGGUCA